GCCCAGCUAGCUGAGUCAGUAGAGCAUGAGACUCUUAAUCUCAGGGUCGUGGGUUUGAGCCCCACGUUGGGCG
Non-coding RNA from Pseudopodoces humilis (Tibetan ground-tit), 73 nucleotides. Lineage: Eukaryota; Metazoa; Chordata; Aves; Passeriformes; Paridae. The record is from the annotation of a RefSeq genome assembly.